CCUACGGGUGGCAGCAGUGAGGAAUAUUGGUCAAUGGGCGAAAGCCUGAACCAGCCAAGUCGCGUGAGGGAAGACGGUCCUACGGAUUGUAAACCUCUUUUGUCAGGGAGCAAGGUGCGCCACGUGUGGUGCUUCGCGUGUACCUUAAGAAUAAGGAUCGGCUAACUCCGUGCCAGCAGCCGCGGUAAUCCGGAGGAUGCGAGCGUUAUUCGGAUUUAUUGGGUUUAAAGGGUGCGUAGGCGGACGUGGCAAGUCAGCGGUAAAGUUGGGGGGCCAAACCUCGAAGUGCCGUUGAGACUGGUAGGCUGGAGUGGGGGAGAGGUAGGCGGAAUGCGUGGUGUAGCGGUGAAAUGCAUAGAUAUCACGCAGAACUCCGAUUGCGAAGGCAGCAUACCGGGGCCUAACUGACGCUGAUGCACGAAAGCGUGGGGAUCAAACAGGAUUAGAUACCCGAGUAGUC
RNAcentral lists this ribosomal RNA (460 nucleotides) under uncultured bacterium. RNAcentral's name for it is "partial 16S ribosomal RNA". It matches the Rfam family "Bacterial small subunit ribosomal RNA", at positions 338 to 795 of the family's 1533-position model. The record is from RNAcentral.